Molecule: ribosomal RNA, 497 nt
Filed under: uncultured bacterium
Lineage: Bacteria
Description: partial 16S ribosomal RNA
Rfam family: Bacterial small subunit ribosomal RNA
Source: RNAcentral
GACGAACGCUGGCGGCGUGCCUAAUACAUGCAAGUUGAGCGCUGAAGGUUGGUACUUGUACCAACUGGAUGAGCAGCGCACGGGUGAGUAACGCGUGGGGAAUCUGCCUUUGAGCGGGGGACAACAUUUGGAAACGAAUGCUAAUACCGCAUAAAAACUUUAAACACAAGUUUUAAGUUUGAAAGAUGCAAUUGCAUCACUCAAAGAUGAUCCCGCGUUGUAUUAGCUAGUUGGUGAGGUAAAGGCUCACCAAGGCGAUGAUACAUAGCCGACCUGAGAGGGUGAGCGGCCACAUUGGGACUGAGACACGGCCCAAACUCCUACGGGAGGGAGCAGUACGGAAUCGUGGGGAAUGGACGAAAGUCUGACCGAGCAACGCCGCGUGAGUGAAGAAGGUUGUCGGAUCGUAAAACUCUGUUGGUAGAGAAGAACGUUGGUGAGAGUGGAAAGCUCAUCAAGUGACGGUAACUACCCAGAAAGGGACGGCUAACUACGUG